AUUGAACGCUGGCGGCAGGCCUAACACAUGCAAGUCGGACGGUAGCACAGAGGAGCUUGCUCCUUGGGUGACGAGUGGCGGACGGGUGAGUAAUGUCUGGGGAUCUGCCCGAUAGAGGGGGAUAACCACUGGAAACGGUGGCUAAUACCGCAUAACGUCGCAAGACCAAAGAGGGGGACCUUCGGGCCUCUCACUAUCGGAUGAACCCAGAUGGGAUUAGCUAGUAGGCGGGGUAAUGGCCCACCUAGGCGACGAUCCCUAGCUGGUCUGAGAGGAUGACCAGCCACACUGGAACUGAGACACGGUCCAGACUCCUACGGGAGGCAGCAGUGGGGAAUAUUGCACAAUGGGCGCAAGCCUGAUGCAGCCAUGCCGCGUGUAUGAAGAAGGCCUUCGGGUUGUAAAGUACUUUCAGCGGGGAGGAAGGCGGUGAGGUUAAUAACCUCGCCGAUUGACGUUACCCGCAGAAGAAGCACCGGCUAACUCCGUGCCAGCCGCCGCCGUAA
RNAcentral lists this ribosomal RNA (506 nucleotides) under uncultured bacterium. RNAcentral describes it as "partial 16S ribosomal RNA". It matches the Rfam family "Bacterial small subunit ribosomal RNA", at positions 29 to 523 of the family's 1533-position model. The record is from RNAcentral.